CGGAGGGAAAGCCACACUGUGAGUGCGGCGCUCUUUGAUGAGCUCAUGUCCUAUCAGCUUGUUGGUAGGGUAACGGCCUACCAAGGCUUUGACGGGUAGCUGGUCUGAGAGGACGAUCAGCCACACUGGCACUGCGACACGGGCCAGACUCCUACGGGAGGCAGCAGUAAGGAAUAUUGCGCAAUGGGCGAAAGCCUGACGCAGCGACGCCGCGUGGGGGAUGAAGGUCUUCGGAUUGUAAACCCCUUUCGGGAGGGAAGAUGGAGCGAGCAAUCGUUCGGACGGUACCUCCAGAAGCAGCCACGGCCAACUUCGUGCCAGCAGCCGCGGUAAUACGAAGGUGGCAAGCGUUGUUCGGAUUCACUGGGCGUACAGGGUGUGUAGGCGGUUUGGUAAGCCUUCUGUUAAAGCUUCGGGCCCAACCCGGAAAGCGCAGAGGGUACUGCCAGGCUAGAGGGUGGGAGAGGAGCGCGGAAUUCCCGGUGUAGCGGUGAAAUGCGUAGAGAUCGGGAGGAAGGCCGGUG
RNAcentral lists this ribosomal RNA (524 nucleotides) under uncultured bacterium. RNAcentral's name for it is "bacterial SSU rRNA". It matches the Rfam family "Bacterial small subunit ribosomal RNA", at positions 196 to 714 of the family's 1533-position model. The record is from RNAcentral.